GAAAGUAUAGCUUAGUGGUAGAGCAUGUGCCUAGCAUGCAUAGGUCCUGGGUUCAAUCCCCAGUACCUCUG
This 71-nucleotide transfer RNA is filed under the name Camelus bactrianus (Bactrian camel). It matches the Rfam family "tRNA". From Rfam's summary of the family: Transfer RNA (tRNA) molecules are approximately 80 nucleotides in length. The record is from Rfam by way of RNAcentral. RNAcentral also lists the same sequence under 2 other names. Lineage: Eukaryota; Metazoa; Chordata; Mammalia; Artiodactyla; Camelidae.